Long non-coding RNA from Phyllostomus discolor (pale spear-nosed bat), 1425 nucleotides. RefSeq lists it as uncharacterized. The record is from RefSeq and is a predicted model, not a curated record. NCBI's taxonomy places the organism in Eukaryota, Metazoa, Chordata, Mammalia, Chiroptera, Phyllostomidae. The transcript has 2 exons.
AGCGUACAUUUCUCAAAGAGGAUUUAAUGCCAGAUUGCUCCUUCUAGCUGUUGCACCAGCCUGUGCUCCCACUGGCAGGGUAUGGAUGUGCCUGUUGCAGAACACCCUCAUCAACAGCCUGUUAUGAGACUUUUGGGUCUUUGCUAAUUUGAUCAUCAAAAAUUAAUGUUUCAGUGUAAUUUUAAUUUGAAUUGUUUUCUAUUGUGAGCAGGGCUGAGCUGCUUUCGUGUGCCUGGGAGCCAUUGGAAUCUCUUCUUCUAGGCCUUGCCUGACCACAUUCUUUGCCCAUAUCUCUAUUGCUCCGCCGGCCUGUUCCUUUCCGGUUUGCAGGAGCUCCUAAGUGAAGGGAAAUUAGUCUGUGGUCUGUACUAGAGCUGCGUAUAUUUCCACCCAGUUUGUCAUUUGUUUUUCAACUUUGCUUAUGGUCUUUUCCAUGCGAAAAAUUUUAAUAUUAUAAAAUUGAAUGUGUUCAUCUUUUCUUUUAUGGUUCUGGGUUUAAUGUCAUAACUGGAAAUGCCUUCCCCUCUCUGAGGUGACUAACCCUCUUUUAGUUUCCUCUAAAAGAGAAAACGGUUGCAUUUUACACGUUUUAAUAUUACAUCUAUUUGGAAUUUAUCCUGGUUGGGUGUGAGAAAUAAAUUUAACUUUGAUUUUUUUUCCCAUUUGAUUGACUUUAAUUUUGUGCUGUUUCAUGGGGAUGCCCCUUCUUGUUUUGCGACACUCAAGGUAUUGCCAAUAUUCUCCAUAAAUGACUAAAAAUCUAAUUUUCAUUGGCUUUAACUAGCAAAACAAUAACUCACAGUUUCUGAACUUACCCCAGGCCAUGAUCUAUUUCGGAAACUGGGGAGAUAAUGAAGUAAAAAACCUUGAAAUCAGACAAGGAAUAAUGUUUGUUGCAUUCCAUCAUCAUUGCUAUUUGGAAAUGCGCAUAUUCAGGACAGGUACUCACAAUAAAAGCAAUUAAAAACAAUAAAACAUAGCUUAAGUGAUUUAAAUCACUUAAAACUGCCAUGUUUAAUGUUCUAAUUAUUCUAUUAGGCUCUUUUUAGACAUGGCAUGAUGAAUAUCCUGCAGCAUUCUGGCUCCUGUGUGCACUGUGAGGGGCUGCCGCACCCCCGGAAUCCUAAGAGGCAGCCCACCAUGGGGUAUGAAGCCCCCUCCAAGGCUUCCCAUGGAAAAGGGAGCUCAGCUGCAAAGACAGAACAAAGACAGAUACUGGUUCCUUAAGCUGUGGAUUUGAGUGGUUGGACUGGCCAAAUCCAGAUACCCAGGGACACUCUACUCAGCUCUCUUUCGCUGCAAGGAGAAUGUCAUUUGUCUGGUAAGAAUGUUGAUUGUCUAGUAAGAUAGAAACUAACGUCUACCCACAGCAAAAGGGUGUCAUGGUCACUGCUGAGUAAAAAUCCUUUGACAAGAACAAACAGA